RNAcentral lists this ribosomal RNA (399 nucleotides) under uncultured bacterium. RNAcentral describes it as "partial 16S ribosomal RNA". It matches the Rfam family "Bacterial small subunit ribosomal RNA", at positions 360 to 773 of the family's 1533-position model. The record is from RNAcentral.
AAUAUUGGGCAAUGGGCGAAAGCCUGACCCAGCAACGCCGCGUGAGGGAAGAAGGUUUUCGGAUUGUAAACCUCUGUCCUUGGUGACGAAAAAAAUGACGGUAGCCAAGGAGGAAGCCCCGGCUAACUACGUGCCAGCAGCCGCGGUAAUACGUAGGGGGCAAGCGUUGUCCGGAAUUAUUGGGCGUAAAGGGUGCGUAGGCGGCCUUUUAAGUCAGAUGUGAAAGACCACAGCUUAACUGUGGGAUUGCAUUUGAAACUGAAGGGCUUGAGUGUCGGAGAGGGUAGUGGAAUUCCCGGAGUAGCGGUGAAAUGCGUAGAUAUCGGGAGGAACACCAGUGGCGAAGGCGACUACCUGGACGACAACUGACGCUGAGGCACGAAAGCUAGGGGAGCAAAC